RNAcentral lists this ribosomal RNA (409 nucleotides) under uncultured bacterium. Its description in RNAcentral is "bacterial SSU rRNA". It matches the Rfam family "Bacterial small subunit ribosomal RNA", at positions 505 to 916 of the family's 1533-position model. The record is from RNAcentral.
GUGCCAGCAGCCGCGGUAAUACGGAGGGUGCAAGCGUUGUCCGGAUUUAUUGGGUUUAAAGGGUGCGUAGGCGGUCUUUUAAGUCAGCGGUGAAAUCCUCCAGCUUAACUGGAGAACUGCCAUUGAUACUGGAAGACUUGAGUACAGACGAGGUUGGCGGAAUUGAUUGUGUAGCGGUGAAAUGCAUAGAUACAAUCAAGAACACCGAUUGCGUAGGCAGCUAACUAGGCUGUAACUGACGCUGAGGCACGAAAGCGUGGGGAGCGAACAGGAUUAGAUACCCUGGUAGUCCACGCUGUAAACGAUGAUUACUCGAUGUCGGCGAUAAACUGUCGGCGUCUUAGCGAAAGCGUUAAGUAAUCCACCUGGGGAGUACGCCCGCAAGGGUGAAACUCAAAUGAAUUGACGG